GUUGGGGUGCGGUUGAUUUUGUCGUAGGCUGGUUCCAGAAUCUUACACCAACUCUUUAUUACGCUGUAUCUUUGAGCCAAUAUUCAGAUGCGGAACUUUAAAAGUUGAAGAUACCAAGAAACAAUGUAGCAACAUGGACGAAAAAUUUACAACUUUCUUAAACACUUGUUGAAAGUUGGCAAGACAGUAUACUAUUUCAUCAAAAGAAAUUCGUCUGAGAUGGAAGCCUAUCGAGUUUGACCAGCAUCAAAGCAAUUUUCAAAAACAUUGCUCGAAAGUUGGCAAAACAUCAUUUCAUCAAAAGGAAUUUGUCAUUCUCAGUUGUCUGGUAAUCAUCACUGAGCAAGAUGGAAGCAUGUAGUGUACAGUCUGGCCAGCAGAUCAAGUGUUCUCUAUUAAAGAACUUAAAGAUUCUGGAACCAUAAGAAAAUGGUAAAUAAAACUUGAGUAUUCAAAUCUGAAGGAGAGUUUGACCAAACAUGUCUGAGAACUACUUGCAAACAAAUGCAUUGAGCCGCACUCGAGACUAUUUUAGACUAUACCCAAUGACAUGAGACUAUUUUAGACUAUACCCAAUGGAAUGAGACUAUUCAGUCUAUACCCAAUGUCAUACGUACUUUAAUCCUCUAUGCAGGCACGAAUCUAUGAGAAUUUUAAUCACAACAUGGGUCGACCAAUCAGGUUCGUGUGAUUUUACUAAAAUAAAAACAGAUUCUUGAUCGAUCUAUUGUUUAGGAACCAAAUUUUUUAUUGUAUUUUUCAUUUAGCUACAAUACAAUUUCUAUAUUUGAUUCAAUAUUCCAUAUAAAUAUGAAAAGUUAAUAAUUUAUAGUUCAUGACUUAUGUAAAAUCAAAUAGUGGAUAUAUUUAUUAUACCAAAGCAUCGUUUAUUUUUGUUAAAUUUUUCAUUUCAUCCCUCCAUUCCAUUCUAAACAUACAUUCCUGUGAUUACCUAAAUUAUUUGGCAUCAAGGAAGCGACCUCAUUCAACAUAUUUGUCAUAUAACUUAAUUUUACAAAUACUUUUCUGAUUAAUGAGGAACCAGCAUUCAAAAUAUAAUGCUAUUAUAUCUCAUUAUUGUCUUAUUUACUCAUUUUGAUACCAUUUGUAAUCGGUACGAACUAAAUAAAGUCUAUUCAUGGUUGUCAAUGUUACCAAACACACAAAUUUAAUCUUACCGGUACUUUAUAAACACUGCUUGUUCUUUGUUUGGAAUCGUCUUCGGAAAACGAACCAGGCCGGCAUGGUUUGUCUCUUCUGUCGAUGAA
Long non-coding RNA from Styela clava, 1268 nucleotides. RefSeq lists it as uncharacterized. Lineage: Eukaryota; Metazoa; Chordata; Ascidiacea; Stolidobranchia; Styelidae. The record is from RefSeq and is a predicted model, not a curated record.